Molecule: ribosomal RNA, 253 nt
Filed under: uncultured bacterium
Lineage: Bacteria
Description: partial 16S ribosomal RNA
Rfam family: Bacterial small subunit ribosomal RNA
Source: RNAcentral
UACGUAGGGGGCAAGCGUUGUCCGGAUUUAUUGGGCGUAAAGAGCGUGUAGGCGGCCUGGAAGGUCAGCUGUGAAAACUCGAGGCUCAACCUCGAGACGUCGGUUGAAACCACCUGGCUAGAGUCCGGAAGAGGAGAGUGGAAUUCCCGGUGUAGCGGUGAAAUGCGCAGAUAUCGGGAAGAACACCCGUGGCGAAGGCGGCUCUCUGGGCAGUAACUGACGCUGAGGAGCGAAAGCGUGGGGAGCGAACAGG